RNAcentral lists this ribosomal RNA (440 nucleotides) under uncultured bacterium. Its description in RNAcentral is "partial 16S ribosomal RNA". It matches the Rfam family "Bacterial small subunit ribosomal RNA", at positions 338 to 795 of the family's 1533-position model. The record is from RNAcentral.
CCUACGGGCGGCAGCAGUAGGGAAUAUUGGUCAAUGGGCGAAAGCCUGAAGCAGCAACGCCGCGUGGAGGAUGAUGGUUUUUGGAUUGUAAACUCCUUUUGUUAGAGAAGAUAAUGACGGUAUCUAACGAAUAAGCACCGGCUAACUCCGUGCCAGCAGCCGCGGUAAGACGGAGGGUGCAAGCGUUACUCGGAUUUACUGGGCGUAAAGGGCGCGUAGGCGGGAUGGCAAGUCAGAUGUGAAAUCCUAUGGCUUAACCAUAGAACUGCAUUUGAAACUGUUAUUCUAGAGUAUGGAUGAGGUAGGUGGAAUUCGUGGUGUAGCGGUAAAAUGCGUAGAGAUCAAGAGGAAUACUCAUUGCGAAGGCAACCUGCUAGAACAUAACUGACGCUGAUGCGCGAAAGCGUGGGUAGCAAACAGGAUUAGAUACCCUUGUAGUC